GCCGAGGUAGCUCAGGGGUAGAGCAGUGGACUGAAAAUCCACGUGUCGUGAGUUCAAAUCUCACCCUCGGCACCA
This 75-nucleotide transfer RNA is filed under the name Candidatus Uhrbacteria bacterium. RNAcentral describes it as "tRNA-Phe". It matches the Rfam family "tRNA". Rfam says of the family: Transfer RNA (tRNA) molecules are approximately 80 nucleotides in length. The record is from RNAcentral. Lineage: Bacteria; Candidatus Uhriibacteriota.